CAAAAACAUUGCCGCGUGCUACUACUCGCGGUACUUUCUGCUCAGUGAGACUUAAACAGCCGCAGUACCCUGACUGUGCAAAGGUAGCGUAAUCAGUUGUCUUCUAAUUAAAGUCUUGUAUCAACGAACAUAUGGGGGCCUACUAUACCAGUAAUAUAUAAUAAACUUACUUAGGGGGUGAAAAUACCCUCGCAGCUCAAUAGACGAGAAGACCCUAGAAAUUUUCACACACGUUUUUGUUGGGGCAACAUGGUAACAUUAAACCUACCUUAUGGGCAAGAAAUGCUUUUGUUAGCGUAAAUUACUCUAGGGAUAACAGCAUAAUGAUUUUAUCGUUUGUGACCUCGAUGUUGGAUUAGGGAGGUUAUAACUUAGAAGGUUUUUAACUGCGCUCUGUUCGAGCA
Molecule: ribosomal RNA, 404 nt
Filed under: Camaenidae sp. NE16
Lineage: Eukaryota; Metazoa; Mollusca; Gastropoda; Stylommatophora; Camaenidae
Description: partial 16S ribosomal RNA
Rfam family: Archaeal large subunit ribosomal RNA
Source: RNAcentral